Scatophagus argus is the source of this 385-nucleotide long non-coding RNA. RefSeq lists it as uncharacterized. The record is from RefSeq and is a predicted model, not a curated record. NCBI's taxonomy places the organism in Eukaryota, Metazoa, Chordata, Actinopteri, Scatophagidae. The transcript is spliced from 3 exons.
CUUUCCUAGAAGAAAAUAGAGGGAGAAGUGACAGUUGUGACCAGUGAAACCUGAAAUCAACGAGGAGGAGAAGUCAUUCACAAAGAGAUGGAGGCCCGGGCGGGUGGAUCUUAUCUUGGCUGCUUGUCUCCUCAACUCACGCUAAAUAUGAGGUCCUCAAUGCGCUGCUUCUCUGAGGAUGCCAUCUCCAAGUUUCCCUCCUCCAGGUACCUGUGUGACCCAAACAUCACACAAUGAAUCAGAUGGUCAUAGAAAGCAAGACUCAAGUAUUCACUCAGUCUGCACUCAUCAGACAAACACAAUUUUACAAGCGGAAUAAACUGAUGUUAGAUGUGAUGGCAGCAACAGCAUAGAGGCAGUCAAGGAUCUGAGGCUGUACCUUUGA